Molecule: non-coding RNA, 115 nt
Organism: Triticum urartu
Lineage: Eukaryota; Viridiplantae; Streptophyta; Magnoliopsida; Poales; Poaceae
Source: Rfam
UAUCUACUUCUUCCGUUUCAAAUUAUUCGUCACAGAAAUGGAUGUAUCUAGAAUUAAAAUAUAUCUAGAUACAUCCAUACUUACGACAAGUAAUUCGGAACGGAGGGAGCAGUUA